Oryza sativa Japonica Group (Japanese rice) is the source of this 2356-nucleotide non-coding RNA. NCBI's taxonomy places the organism in Eukaryota, Viridiplantae, Streptophyta, Magnoliopsida, Poales, Poaceae. The record is from RefSeq and is a predicted model, not a curated record.
CGGAGAACGUUAGCCUGCAAUGCAUGAAGAAGGAUUGGUCGGCAAAAGCAGGUCGAACAGGUAAACGCAUUGAGCAGAUGGGGAUUAAUCAAAGAAAACAUCGAAAUGACAAAGAAAGAGAAAAAAAUCUGACAAGAAACAAAUCGAUAGACAUCAUGGGUUCGUGAAUCCACUGACUAAACGAACUAAUGUACGGAACCUACAGAUCAAGUUCACAAAGAAACCACCGUUGGUUUCCAUUCUACAGAAAAGAUCAACUAAUGGAGCUAGCUAAAAUAUCUAUUCUUCAAAGGAAUAUAAACAGAUGGGUGCAUUGCAAAUGGAGAUUAACCUAUCAGUCCAUUUCAAGAGCAGAACAUCGCCAGCUUUUAGUGCAUUGCAAAUGGAUACAAAUCAGUGGUGGUGCUACUACUACUACCAACAAGUGAAUAAUCACUGCUACUGAUGGGUAUACUAGAGGGGAGGAGGAGGAGGACGAGGACAGCUCAGGGGAGUGCUUGCAUACCAGAGGGGGAGGACGACGCGGGAGCCAAGGCUCCGCCGGAGAGUAGGCGGCGCGGCAACCUAGCGCUCUCGCCGCCGGUAAAGCCCCUCCGUUGCGCAGCCGCCGAAUGUGACACGGAGAAAAGCUAGAAGCGGCGGCGACCUAUGUGCACGAAGGCUCUCAGCCCAUUCUCCCGGCCCAGUUCUCUAAGGCAGGCCCAGGCCGAGAUUAUUCGAAUUGAACUGGUAAAAAAGUCUAUCUUUCCUCCCUCGAGGACUUGGGAGGCGACGGCGCUCCGCCGCCGCAGCGUCGGAACGAAUCCCCGGCGGCGGCGGCGGCGGCCAACAAGGGGAAGAAGAAGAAGAAGAAGGGCGGCGCUGCCGGCGGCAGAGGCGGUGGGAGGUGGCCACCGAUUUUAGCCGAAGAAAGAUCUCCAUAUCAAUCGUCUCAAGGGCACUAACCUCCUCACAAUAACGGAGGAAGAACAAUGAAGCUGCAACGGGGAGUGGUCCACCUAAAGAAAGUAGCAGACAAUGGGGAGUGAUCGUUCUAAAGAAAGUGGCAGCCAACCAUCAAGUACAUCAGGAAAGAUGGCCAGUAGUAUCUUUGACAAAUUGCAAGUGGAGUUCAUCGACCAAGAUGAGGGUGUGCAGGUUGUUGCAGACACCAUUGGAAGCUCUGGCGAGGUUCCUGAAAGGUAUGUGAGGCAUGAGAUUGAGGCCAAUAUUGUCAUAAUUGACAACGCCAAUGGUUAUAGUCUACCAGUAAUAGACAUGUCAAGAUUGAUCAAUCCUGACUUCUCGGACUUCCUUCUGGCAUGAUUGUUGGAGGAGAUCGCGAAGCUUGGAUCUGCAUGUGAGGAUUGGGGAUACUUCCAUCUUGUGAACCAUGGGGUGGAUGCAGGGUUGCUGCAACAGAUCAAGGCUGACAUCACGGAAUUCUUCAGACUCCCUCUGCAGGAGAAGGCCGUGGCGAUCCCACCCAAUGGCUUGCAGGGGUUUGGCCACCACUUUUUCUUUCCAAAGGAGCAGAAGCUGGACUGGGCAGAUUUGCUGUUCCUCGUCACACGGCCAGUUGAGGAAAGGAGCAAUGGAUUUCUGGCCUACAAAGCCUUCCACAUUCAGGGACUCACUUGACAAGUACUCGUUAGAGAUUGCAUGUGUCUACUAAGCUGUUCAAGUUCAUGGCCAUCAACCUGGGAGUCGAUGAGGAAGCACUCCUUGGAGUAUUCAAGGGGCAUACUCAGAGUGUAAGGAUCAACCAUUACCCCCACUGCCGUCAGGCUGACAAGGUGCUGGGCUUUUCAGCGCACACCGAUGGCGUCGGCUUGACACUGCUCCUCCAAGUGAACGACGUGCAAGGGCUGCAGAUCAGGAAGAACGGCAGGUGGUUCGCUGUGAAGAAUCUCCCUGGAGCCCUCGUCGUCAAUGUUGGUGACAUUCUUGAGAUCCUCACAAAUGGCAAGUACAAGAGUAUUGAGCACAGAGCGGUAAUAAACCCCGAUAAGGAAAUGAUCACCCUUGCUGCAUUCCAUAAACCCCCGCUUUCCUGCACAGUUGGAGUUGGCCCACUCCAGGAGCUUCUAAUGAAAGGUAAGGCGCACUACAAGACGGUUGAUGUCGUUGAGUUCACCAAAGGCUACUUUACUGCGAAGCUGGAAGGCAGGAGCUACCUGGAGAGAUUGAAGCUGGGAGUGUGAUGAUGUCAGGAUGGGAUUUUUCUGCCUCUCUUGAUCCUUUUGUUUUCGUGAAAGGCUAAUGACACUGUAUCUUCCUCAUCCUGGUACAGUUCAGCUGGUAUUUGCCUUGACCAUACACUCAAGUGUACCUUUCACUAUUUAUAUAUGAUAUUUGCUAUUAUUUGUGUACUCUA